UGCCAGCAGCCGCGGUAACACGUAGGGCGCAAGCGUUGUCCGGAAUCAUUGGGCGUAAAGAGCUCGUAGGUGGUUUGUUGCGUCCGCUGUGAAAAUCCAGGGCUUAACCCUGGACUUGCAGUGGAUACGGGCAGACUAGAGGUAGGUAGGGGAGAAUGGAAUUCCCGGUGUAGCGGUGAAAUGCGCAGAUAUCGGGAGGAACACCGGUGGCGAAGGCGGUUCUCUGGGCCUUACCUGACACUGAGGAGCGAAAGCGUGGGGAGCGAACAGGAUUAGAUACCCUGGUAGUCCACGCCGUAAACGUUGGGCGCUAGGUGUGGGGUCCUUCCACGGAUUCCGUGCCGCAGCUAACGCAUUAAGCGCCCCGCCUGGGGAGUACGGCCGCAAGGCUAAAGCUCAAAGGAAUUGAACGGGGGCCCGCACAAGA
RNAcentral lists this ribosomal RNA (427 nucleotides) under uncultured bacterium. Its description in RNAcentral is "bacterial SSU rRNA". It matches the Rfam family "Bacterial small subunit ribosomal RNA", at positions 506 to 930 of the family's 1533-position model. The record is from RNAcentral.